UUUUCAUUCUUCACCCUAUCUCACCGGUCAGAGAAGCGAGAGAGUGUGUGAAAUGAAGAGA
Molecule: microRNA precursor, 61 nt
Filed under: Pristionchus pacificus
Lineage: Eukaryota; Metazoa; Nematoda; Chromadorea; Rhabditida; Neodiplogasteridae
Description: mir-8364 microRNA precursor family
Rfam family: mir-8364 microRNA precursor family
Source: Rfam by way of RNAcentral